GUAGGUGGCAAGCGUUGUCCGGAAUUAUUGGGGCGUAAAGCGCGCGCAGGCGGUUCUUUAAGUCUGAUGUGAAAGCCCACGGGCUCAACCGUGGAGGGUCAUUGGAAACUGGAGAACUUGAGUACAGAAGAGGAAAGCGGAAUUCCACGUGUAGCGGUGAAAUGCGUAGAGAUGUGGAGGAACACCAGUGGCGAAGGCGGCUUUCUGGUCUGAAACUGACGCUGAGGCGCGAAAGCGUGGGGAGCAAACAGGAUUAGAUACCCUGGUAGUCCACGCCGUAAACGAUGAGUGCUAAGUGUUAGGGGGUUUCCGCCCCUUAGUGCUGCAGCUAACGCAUUAAGCACUCCGCCUGGGGAGUACGGCCGCAAAGGCUG
Molecule: ribosomal RNA, 374 nt
Filed under: uncultured organism
Description: partial 16S ribosomal RNA
Rfam family: Bacterial small subunit ribosomal RNA
Source: RNAcentral